This 498-nucleotide ribosomal RNA is filed under the name Triticum aestivum (bread wheat). Its description in RNAcentral is "partial small subunit ribosomal RNA". The record is from RNAcentral. Lineage: Eukaryota; Viridiplantae; Streptophyta; Magnoliopsida; Poales; Poaceae.
CAGAUACCUAGUGCCUCGCGGAGACCAAAAGCACCACCAGAGAACUUUGUCAAAAUACAAGUUGAUGCGGGUGUUAGGGCCUCAAGAGGAGGAUCAGCGGUAGCGGUAUGCCGUGACAGAAAUGGGACCUUCCUGGGAAGUUCUGCACUGGUGAUUGCUGGAGUGGCGGAUCCAGCUACCCUGGAGGCGAUUGCUUGCAGAGAGGCCAUUGCUUUGGCUCAAGAUUUAAAUGUGCAGCAAGCUAUGAUCACUUCCGACUCGAAGCAAGUCAUUGGAGAUAUCCAUGGAGGGAACAAAGGACUCUAUGGUCCGAUCAUUACCGAAAUUAAAGCUGGAGCCUCUCUUUUGAAUUGUAAUUUUUCUUUCGAGGGUCGUGCAACCAAUAUGGAUGCACAUAGAUUAGCUAAGUUUGCUUUAUCCUUAGUUCCGGGGCGUCAUGUAUGGCUUGGCCAGCCUCAUCCCCCGACUCGUAUCCCACACGUUGUGAUGUUUGAUUAA